UACGUAGGGGGCAAGCGUUAUCCGGAAUCACUGGGCGUAAAGGGUGCGUAGGCGGCCGAGAAAGUCCGGGGUGAAAGGCUACGGCUCAACCGUAGUAAGCCUUGGAAACUUCUUGGCUUGAGUGCAGGAGAGGUAAGUGGAAUUCCUAGUGUAGCGGUGAAAUGCGUAGAUAUUAGGAGGAACACCAGUGGCGAAGGCGACUUACUGGACUGUAACUGACGCUGAGGCACGAAAGCGUGGGGAGCGAACAGGAUUAGAUACCCUGGUAGUCCACGCCGUAAACGAUGAGUGCUAGGUGUUGGAGCCGACAGGCUUCGGUGCCGCAGCUAACGCAUUAGGCACUCCGCCUGGGGAGUACGCUCGCAAGAGUGAA
This 373-nucleotide ribosomal RNA is filed under the name uncultured bacterium. RNAcentral's name for it is "bacterial SSU rRNA". It matches the Rfam family "Bacterial small subunit ribosomal RNA", at positions 524 to 898 of the family's 1533-position model. The record is from RNAcentral.